RNAcentral lists this long non-coding RNA (1625 nucleotides) under Salmo salar (Atlantic salmon). RNAcentral describes it as "lncRNA (ENSSSAG00000099378.1)". The record is from RNAcentral. Lineage: Eukaryota; Metazoa; Chordata; Actinopteri; Salmoniformes; Salmonidae.
GUAGAGCCAGUGUGUGGGGUAGUGUAGAGCCAGUGUGGUGGGUAGUGUAGAGCCAGUGUGGGGGGUAGUGUAGAGCCAGUGUGUGGGGGUAUGUAUAGCCAGUGUGGGGGGUAGUGUAGAGCCAGUGUAUGGGGUAGUGUCUUUCCAGUGUGGGGGGUAGUGUAGAGCCAGUGUGUGGGGUAGUGUAGAGCCAGUGUGGUGGGUAGUGUAGAGCCAGUGUGGGGGGUUGUGUAGAGCCAGUGUGUGGGGUAGUGUAGAGCCAGUGUGUGGGGGUAGUGUAGAGCCAGUAUGGGGGGUAGUGUAGAGCCAGUGUGGGGGUAGUGUAGAGCCAGUGUGGGGGGUAGUGUAGAGCCAGUGUGUGGGGUAGUGUAGAGCCAGUGUGGGGGGGUAGUGUAGAGCCAGUGUGGGGGGUAGUGUAGAGCCAGUUUGUGGGGUAGUGUAGAGCCAGUGUGGGGGGUAGUGUAGAGCCAGUGUGGGGGGUAGUGUAGAGCCAGUGUGGGGUAGUGUAGAGCCAGUGUGGGGGGUAGUGUAGAGCCAGUGUGUGGGGUAAUAUAGAGCCAGUUUGUGGGGUAGUGUAGAGCCAGUGUGUAUGGUAGUGUAGAGCCAGUGUGGGGGGUAGUGUAGAGUCAGUGUGUGGGGUAGUGUAGAGCCAGUGUGGGGUAGUGUAGAGCCAGUGUGGUGGGUAGUGUAGAGCCAGUGUGUGGGGUAGUGUAGAGCCAGUGUGGGGGUAGUGUAGAGCCAGUGUGUGGGGUAGUGUAGAGCCAGUGUGGGAGGUAGUGUAGAGCCAGUGUGGGGGGUAGUGUAGAGCCAGUGUGGGGGGUAGUGUAGAGCCAGUGUGGGGUAGUGUAGAGCCAGUGUGGGGGGUAGUGUAGCAGGUGUGUGGGGGUAGUGUAGAGCCGGUGUGUGGGGUAGUGUAGAGCCAGUGUGUGGGGUAGUGUAGAGCCAGUGUGUGGGGUAGUGUAGAGCCAUUGUGGGGGUAGUGUAGAGCCAGUGUGGGGGGUAGUGUAGAGCCAGUGUGGGGUAGUGUAGAGCCAGUGUGGGGGGUAGUGUAGAGCCAGUGUGGGGUAGUUUAGAGCCAGUGUGGGGUAAUGUAGAGCCAGUGUGUGGGGUAGUUGUAGAGCCAGUUUGUGGGGUAGUGUAGAGCCAGUGUGUAUGGUAGUGUAGAGCCAGUGUGGGGUAGUGUAGAUCCAGUGUGGGGGUAGUGUAGAGCCAGUGUGGGGUAGUGUAGAGCCAGUGUGGGGUAAUGUAGAGCCAGUGUGUGGGGUAGUGUAGAGCCAGUGUGGGGGGUAGUGUAGAGCCAGUGUGGGGGGUAGUGUAGAGCCAGUGUGGGGGGUAGUGUAGAGCCAGUGUGGGGGGUAGUGUAGAGCCAGUGUGGGGUAGUGUAGAGCCAGUGUGGGGGGUAGUGUAGAGCCAGUGUGUGGGGUAGUAUAGAGCCAGUUUGUGGGGUAGUGUAGAGCCAGUGUGUAUGGUAGUGUAGAGCCAGUGUGGGGUAGUGUAGAGCCAGUGUGGGGGGUAGUGUAGAGCCAGUGUGGGGUAGUGUAGAGCCAGUGUGGGGUAGUGUAGAGCCAGUGUGGGGGGUAGUGUAGAGCCAGUGUGGGGUAGUGUAGAGCCAGUGUGGGGGGUAG